This 364-nucleotide ribosomal RNA is filed under the name Gluconobacter oxydans. Its description in RNAcentral is "bacterial SSU rRNA". It matches the Rfam family "Bacterial small subunit ribosomal RNA", at positions 1011 to 1369 of the family's 1533-position model. Lineage: Bacteria; Pseudomonadati; Pseudomonadota; Alphaproteobacteria; Acetobacterales; Acetobacteraceae. The record is from RNAcentral.
AGAUGACCUUUCUUCGGACCUCCCGCACAGGUGCUGCAUGGCUGUCGUCAGCUCGUGUCGUGAGAUGUUGGGUUAAGUCCCGCAACGAGCGCAACCCUUGUCUUUAGUUGCCAGCACUUUCAGGUGGGCACUCUAGAGAGACUGCCGGUGACAAGCCGGAGGAAGGUGGGGAUGACGUCAAGUCCUCAUGGCCCUUAUGUCCUGGGCUACACACGUGCUACAAUGGCGGUGACAGUGGGAAGCUACAUGGUGACAUGGUGCUGAUCUCUAAAAGCCGUCUCAGUUCGGAUUGUACUCUGCAACUCGAGUACAUGAAGGUGGAAUCGCUAGUAAUCGCGGAUCAGCAUGCCGCGGUGAAUACUUC